UAGGGAAUCUUGCGCAAUGGGCGAAAGCCUGACGCAGCCAUGCCGCGUGAAUGAUGAAGGUCUUAGGAUUGUAAAAUUCUUUCACCGGGGAAGAUAAUGACGGUACCCGGAGAAGAAGCCCCGGCUAACUUCGUGCCAGCAGCCGCGGUAAUACGAAGGGGGCUAGCGUUGCUCGGAAUUACUGGGCGUAAAGGGCGCGUAGGCGGAUAUCUAAGUUGGGGGUGAAAUCCCGGGGCUCAACCUCGGAAUUGCCUUCAAAACUGGAUAUCUUGAGUUCGGGAGAGGUGAGUGGAACUCCGAGUGUAGAGGUGAAAUUCGUAGAUAUUCGGAAGAACACCAGUGGCGAAGGCGACUCACUGGCCCGAUACUGACGCUGAGGCGCGAAAGCGUGGGGAGCAAACA
Molecule: ribosomal RNA, 402 nt
Filed under: uncultured Phenylobacterium sp.
Lineage: Bacteria; Pseudomonadati; Pseudomonadota; Alphaproteobacteria; Caulobacterales; Caulobacteraceae
Description: bacterial SSU rRNA
Rfam family: Bacterial small subunit ribosomal RNA
Source: RNAcentral